This 424-nucleotide unclassified non-coding RNA is filed under the name Santalum murrayanum. Its description in RNAcentral is "partial external transcribed spacer". The record is from RNAcentral. Lineage: Eukaryota; Viridiplantae; Streptophyta; Magnoliopsida; Santalales; Santalaceae.
UCAACCAGGUAGCGUCAUUAACAACGUCGGCCGCAUACUGAGCAAAAACGAGGGGAGACCUCGUCUGCUAGGAUGGCACGACAGUCACAAAUGCGUCAAAGCGUAAAAGCUUUAUAGUGGGGCAAAGAUCCGACAUCCGCCGAGUUACCCUCGUUGUAUUCGAAAUCCGAGAACAUAAGCCAAUACCCGACAAACUGAGCCACCGAAUCAUAAGGGUCACACUAGUGUGGUUAGACUGCAGGGACCGCUUCAUUUUCCAUCCUUAAAAAUCCCAAAAGUUUCAUACGAUGGAGAGGCACCGAUACGAGUUCAAGUUCCUCCGUGCUAGGUAGGAAACACAAGGACCGCGUAGCCCAAAGCGUAAAUGCGCUUGAAGCCCAUAAUGAAAACACACGUCAAUGAUUCCCCCAUAUAGGUACGAAGC